This is a long non-coding RNA of Homo sapiens (human), 2031 nucleotides long. Ensembl annotates it as ASAP1 intronic transcript 2. Its record names the gene ASAP1-IT2. The record is from Ensembl. Lineage: Eukaryota; Metazoa; Chordata; Mammalia; Primates; Hominidae.
UACAUAUCUACUUAUUGGAAGUGGGACUGUCAUUGUCCCAGUUACUGAUGAGGAAAUUAGGCACAGAGAAGUCAAAUGACUUGCUUAAGAUCUCAAAUCCAGGAACUGCAGAAGUGAGAUUUGAACCCAUUUCCAACUCCAAGGCCUGUAUAGUAAUUCACUAUUCCAGAAUACUCCUGUAGCAACCUGGCCAUUCGCUGCUGAGCCAAUGCCCCCUCUCUUUCCACAAACUCUUCUCCUGUAGCUUCGAAGCUAUGGUAGGUGACCAGGAGUCUUGGCCACACUUCUUCCAUUGCCUGCCCAGGAGGUAUCUCCAACUUUCUCUUACACACAUCUGUAUGAUACACUAAGACCUUUUUCCAAAUUGCACAGAGAGAGAAAAAGGGAUUGAGUUGCUUCCAUAUUUUUGCUGCUCAUUGUCCUCUUUUCAGUACUAUUUUAUUUUCAGAAUUUUUUCUAGCCACACUUUUCUUCUCAAGCACAGCAGGUAGCCUUUGCAUAGCUAUGAGAGUGACAGGAUUCUUGUCAACCAGACCAUAGACGCCUACCCAGCCAGGUGUAAGAAGGUCCGCUGUGGGCAGAGAAGUUGAUGAGCCAGCACGGUCAGUCCUGUCUUUCGCUAGCAGGGACUAUUGACUGCUCUGUGCCAGACAUUUUGUUAAAAAGUGGUGUUAUCGGCCUGGCGCAGUGGCUCACGCCUGUAAUCCCAGCACUUUGAGAGACCGAGGCAGGUGGAUCACUCGAGGUCAGGAGUUCAAGACCAGCCUGGCCAACAUGGCGAAACCCCAUCUCCACUAAAAAUACAAAAAUUAGCCAGACGUGGUGGCGCAUGCCUGUAAUCCUAGCUACUUGGGAGGCUGAGGCAGGAGAAUCAGUGAACCUAGGAGGCAGAGGUUGCAGUGAGCUGAGAUGAUGCCGUUGUACUCCAGCCUGGGCAACAAGAGCAAAACUCCAUCUCAGAAAAAAUAAAAAUAAAAAUAAUGGUGUUACCAAGACAUAGAAGGUGGGGUCCAUUCUUUGAAGUGACCACUCAUUGAGUAAAUUAACAUCAUUUCUGUUUCAUGCCAUUGAAGAGCUGUGAAUAAUAAUACCCUUGUGUCAGGCUUCCUGUGGUCUAGCACUGUGUCCCGUACUUUAUAGUUUAUUUCCUUUAAUACUCAUGCCCAUCUAGGGUAGUAGGUACCAUGGUUGUUCCCAGUUGAUAUAUGACGGAAUCGAGGCUUAGCAGAAUAAGAAGUCACCCAAACUCAUACCCACUGGUCAGCAGUACAGCUAGAAUUCAAAGCCACACUUGUCUAGGUCCAAAAUCUGCACCCCUAAUUAACCACUCCUGGUAAGAAGCUGGUUAUAAGGGCUGGUCAAGUCAGCUAUGGAAGAAUUCUCAGAAAGUGACUCUAAAGGUGUUCUUUGAAGGUUGUGUAGGAAUUCACCAAAACUGGAAGGAGACAGGCCUUCCUUGCAGGGAAAAGGAACGUAAGGGGCAAAGUUACAGAGACAUAAAAACUCACACCAUCUUUGGAAAAAGGAGACUCAUUUUGAGAAGCCAAAGAGUAAGGUUAAGUGAGAACUCUGGACAUUUGGGCCUGUGGGUAUUGGGCAGCAGCCCCUGACAUGAUGACUCGUCUGUGUGACAGCAGAAUGAAUGACCACAGCAGAGCCAGAGGGCCUUUGCAGCCCUGUUGGUCUCAAAUUUACUCAUGUAUAGCACAUGCAACCUGCAUUAAUAAUCACUUCUUUGGAAUGUUUUCUACCUGGAAAGGGAAUUAGUGGAUGUAACAGUUCAUUCCCCAAACAUAAAAUUUUCCUUGACGUUUUGAUUGUUAUAACUCAUUUAAGUGGGAAAGUAUAAGAUUUGAUAUCUAGCCCUGAAGACUCAUCAUUGAGCACAGUGCUAGAAAGAAAUGCCUACCAGGCUAGGUGCAGUGGCUCACACCUGUAAUCCCAGCACUUUGGGAGGCCAAGACAGGAGGAUCACUUGAGGCCAAGUAUUUGAGACCAGCCUGGGAAAUACAGUGAGACCUUGUCUCUACC